GGUUUAAGUUACAAGGUUCGGUAUGGGUUAAGGUUAGGGACUAGAGCUCUUCACGGAUCCACCUGUACCCAAGACCCGAGUGGGUCCAGAUUCAGAAUUCUAAAUAAUGUCACGGGUCUGGGUCAGAUCUGAUAUGAUUGUCAUGGAUGUCAUCUUUUAGAAGAAAACAAGCUACGCUGGUUUACAGAGACCUGACCAGAGGCAUGAUAUCAUGUACACUCCUGGAAAACAGAAUGGAAAAUGCUGCACACUGCUGCUCAUGCUCCCAGGUGAUAUUUAUUUACAACUUUUCAACCCUUAGGUCUUCAUCAGGCAUCCAUAUCCCAGGAUGGAAGGUCCUAUUUAUAUGGGCAGUACUCAGUGACAUCACUUCCUGAAACAGGAGGUAAAAAAUGUAUAAACUCGUUUCACAAUAUUAAUAUUCAAUGUAUCAAAAUAUAUGAUUGUACACAGAGAAUGUGAUCAAUAUUUAUAGUAAUAUACAUACACAUACAAUAUUCAAUUAGAAUAAUAAAAAAACACAAUUUAGAAUUAUUGAAACUAUAAAAACGGUUUCAAGUCAAACUCCUCGUUAAGGCCACGAGUUCAGGCUGUGGAUCCAGAAAGAUUCCUGUUGAAGAAGUUUCCACUCAGUGUCCCCUCCCCCGCGUGACAUCUUGACCCUUUGUAUUCCAAUGUAUCUCCGAGAACUAAUAGGAUGUCCAGCUUGUACAAAAUGAGCAGCAACCAAAUUUUUUGUUCUCACACCUGUCCGUAUGUUGCUGCGGUACUCACUGAUCUGUGUCUUUAGGCUUCUACUGGGUUUCCCUAUGUAAGACAACACCCAAAGUCGCCGGAGCAAGACAUGGUAAUAAACCUGUCCAACAGGUCUAUAUCUGAUACAUGUUCAUCUGCCCUAGGUAAGGCACGAUCAUUUGUCCCAACAUCACAGGCCAAUGACUUUGAUACAGUUACAGACUUUCAAACAUUUUUUUGCGUAGUUUGAGAUUAACUACAUUUUUUUGGUAAUGGGGUUGCUCCCUAUGUACCUGCCAAUAUUCAUCUAUUGAACGAUAUUAGCAACCAGACAGGAAACUGAAACAAGUGCUAAUGUUUUUCCAAUUGAUAACCUCAAAUGACAAUGAACUUGACUCUCGCCCCGAGGACAUGACGAGGGAAAAUACAUAUUUCAAGAGGAAAAGCACAUUUUUUGACCACCCAAAAUAAAUCCCUCUAUUGAAACAUAUUGCCGCCUAGUUGAGAAAGAUGUACAUAAUCUCCUGGCUAAGAAAAAAAUAAUACAAGGUAUUCCACAAUAUGUCCAAAGCAGAGAAAUAAUCUCUUAUGUGACUGAAAAAUGACUCCAGUAUCAUUAUAAAACCUGCCGACAAAGAAGGUGCAAUAGUGAUCCUAAAUGCAGCAGACUAUGCAAAGGACAUUCUGAGACAAAUUCUGAGACAACUUAGUGAUGCUGACUCCCAAAGUACCCUACUAAUCAAUUAAAGUCUCUGAUCCAUGAUAUAUUGUCAACCUUUUUGAAUGAAGGGGAAAUUACAAAGACAGAAUAUGACUAGAUUGAAGUUGACUGUCCAACCGCACCUGUCAUAGACGCUCUACCCAAAAUUCACAAGAUCAUGACGCCACCUAUACCAGGCAGGCCCAUUGUGAGCAGUAAUGGAUCUCUGACAGAGAAUAUCUCUACCUUUUGUAGACCAUUUUGUGAAACCCUGGGCGAUCUCCCUCCCGACGUAUACUAGAGACUCUAUUGAUUUUAUACAUUUUUUUUUAAAUCUGUGGACUAUAUACCUGAAAAUUAUAUUUUGUGUAUUUUUGAUGUUACCAGUCUAUAUACACCCCCAUCAGGGCGGCCUAGAGGCCCUCAUGUUCUACCUCAAUGAAAGUCCCCCUAAUGCUCUACCCAGCACCAAUUGUAUUGUGGACAUGGCUGAACUGGUACUAACCUCCAACUAUUUUCUCUUCAGAGGAGACUUCUUCUUCCAGACCAAAAGGACAGCGAUGGGGAGCACUAUGGCUCCUAAUUAUACUAACCUAUAUCUAUGAAUGUUUGAAAAACAGGUGGUGCUGAAUCUAGACCUUAACCCUUUUCUCUCCAAUAUUCUCCAAAUUCUGAGAAAUUUGAAUGACAUUUUCGUGAUCUAUACUGGGACCCAGGAAGAACAUUUGGAAUUCCAUGCUUAGCUAAACUCUAUGAAUGAACACCUUCUCUUCAGCAUUAACUAUGACCAUUCACAAAUCAAUUUUCUUCAUGUGAUGGUUAAUUAAGGACAAAACACCCCUCUCUACAGUUCUCUAUGGGAAACCUACGGACAAGAAUACCCUCCUUAGAGGUGUCAGCUUUCAUCCACAUCAACAUAAAGAAAUGUAGCCUAAUUAUUAAUUCAUAUAUUUAGUUAACAUUAGACAGUUAAUCCAGAGAUUCUUACCUACGCAUCGAUUCGGCAGUCUCGCACCAGAUCAUCAUGGCAUUUGUAGUUCUUUAUGAUAGCCACAUUAGCAGCUAAUUAGCAUUUCAUUUUUGGGGGGUAAAUACAUGCGAAUAUAUUGAUAAAAGUCAGCUUGUCCUAGAGAGAUUUACACAGUUAUCAAAAUGUCACGUUAGGGUAACCCUACAUGAAACACAGCCCUUAUUUUAAGUGUUUCUAAAAUCUAUGGGAAAAAUUAAUGGUGGAAAAACUAUUAUUGGAACCAUUUCCCUGUUUGACCUCUUGAGUUUUAUGGGUAUUAUGACUCACACUGUGGUACUCUAUAGUCCACUUAGUAACAGUAAAAGGGCUCUCCAAACCUUUCCUGGAGAGAUACCCUUCUGUAGGUCUUCGCUACAACCCCAGUUGUAACUAAGCCGAUUCAGCUUAUCAACCAGCUAAUUAUUAGAAUCACGUGUACUAGAUUAGGGUGGCUGCAGUUCUGCAGCUGUGAGCUGGAACCUGGGGCUGACUAUAUUCAACCUGUUUGAAAAUGAUCAGGACACCGCAAGUGCCCGUGAGAGCCAACAACCUCAAAUCGGUAUGUGAUUACACUUUACGAGCUGCGGCGUUACAUUUUACUCAGGGUUUGCUCCGAUUUCCUCCGACUUGGAAAAAUACGCCAAGAGCGGAUCGGGAGCCAUAGAUCAGAAGUGCCGGGAAGUCGGGAAUGAACGAGUUCAGACUGGGAAAAUACGUUUUGAAAGGUCAUCGAACUCGUAAUUCUAAAUCUUUCUCUUUGAUGACAACAUUUAUCCACGAAGAAUUGCUGCGCCACCCUGUUCAAGUGAGCACAUCACAACAAGGUGAGUCCAAAAAGGUCUUAUAUGCUGCUGCAUAAAUUAUGUAAUAUGCCAGGGAGAUAUGUAUACAGUAGCUAAGAAACAAAUACUAAGUGUAUGUUGUGUAUGAAGCUGUUAGUAGCCCAUGUGCCUCAUCCUAAUAAUUUGGCCUAUUUUCACCUCUUAAUUUUGCUUAACGUUACUGUUUCUGACUCGGUGGUGCACAUGUAGCCUAUAACCUGUUUUUUGAGCAAUGUCAUCAUCUAAUAUUGUAAGAGCUUUCAUUGUCUGCUUAUAUGCCCCCUUUAUGUAUCCUAUGAUUCUGACUUGGUGUACAGGGAAUGUUCUGCAUUCUGUCACUGUACAUUUCAAAAGUGCUGAACACAUAGUUAUAUUGACUACGUAUGUCUUAGUUCGCUCAUUAAUGUCUUAAUCGAAAUUACGGAAUGCCUCUUAUCCGCUCAUCAUUCCCUUAUGCCAUCUCAAUUGUCAGUAGAAACCAUAUUUGUUUAAACAAGUCAGCCAUAUCAGCUACGUUUUUUAAAAAGGCAGUAAAUGAGGCUAAAUGAAGCCAGACAAGGCUCUGCUGAUAGCCAGGUGUAGCGGUGGUAAGGAUUCACUCCAUUGUGCUGGAAAGAAAGCUCUGCUGUUGGGACAGCUUUAUGUAGGCCCUAAGAGUUUGUGGGCACCACUUGUCACCAUUAUAGUGCAAUUAAUGUAUUGUUUAGUGUUGUGUUGUGUAGUGGUCUUUGCUGCUAUGCACCUAAAAAAAUGUCUUUUGAGUUUACCCCACCACGAUUUACAUGCUAAAAUCGCCACUGUGUACAGUCAUUGUUUAAAGUCUCAGUAAGCUAAUUUGUGAUACAGUGAAGGUUAAUACACAUAUAGGUGAAUUUGUCCCAAUACUUUUGGUCCCCUAAAAUGGGGGGACUAUGUACAUAAAGUUCUGUAAUUUCUAAACAGUUCACCCGAUAUGGAUGAAAAUACCCUCAAAUGAAAGCUGACAGUCUGCUCUUCAAUUAUAUCAUUGCAUCAUUUCAAAUCCAAAGUACUGGAGUACAGAGCCAAAACAACAACAAAAAGUGCCACUGUUCCAAUGCUUUUGGAGCGCACUGUAUGUUAGCUAUAAUGACACAUUAGAUCAUGUAUUGAAUAUUUAACCACCCUGUAGUGACAUUCAUGAAUGGCUUGAUACAGUUUUAUGAAUGGCUUGAUUACGGAUUUCUCCAUACCCACUUUGAAGUAAUGGUUUACACAAAAAUGCAUGAAAUAAAUCCUCUUUACUCUGAAUUGUUUUGACAUUUACAAAAACAGUCCCAAUCUGAUGGUGGACACCACAUUUGCAGUGCCAGCCUUUCAUGAUUAUGCUUACAAUGGUGACUGGCAGAUAAUUACAACUUGGGUUUUUUUCUUGAUCAUUUCUUCUUGUUAUACACUGCUGCUUUGUAUAGUUGCAGACCGUUGCCCUGACGGUAUUCAUUAACAGCUAGUUGUAAUCUGUCCUAGAUCCUUAAUUAAACAUCACCCAUUGUAAUGCUCAUUAUGGUUUCUGAUUGUACUUUACAUUUCAGGUCACAGAUGGUACCAGAUAUGUGACUGGUAGCAGGCUUGCUGACAGAGAACAAGUGAAGUUUGUGGUCUUACCUACAAAAGUUUGGGAAGAUCACAAAAGAGAUGACACCAGCUCAUCGUGUUGACACCCUCAUUGAUUCCCUCCUCUAUUACUUAGCCAGGAUCAGGGCAAGCACUGGAAACACAACUCUGGCGGCAGAACGUCCUGAAGGAGGAAACCGAGGCAAAGGAGGAGUUGAUGGUGCUGCUAUAGGCAGCAUUCCAGGUUAGAUUCCAUGUGUUUUGCUCAUAUCUUUUGUUUAUAUGUAAUGAUCCCUUUCUCCCAAUUCAAUCGGUUGAAUAUGUCAUAGGCAGCACACUGUCGGACGUAGAAAGUUUGAACCCGUCAGAUAAAGGAGACCCUCACAGGCAAGAGGAUGUUGUCCCUGAUACGUGGAAACUCUCGCCCAGCAAGUAGUUGCUACAUCGCUGACCUAAGGUUUUAUCCCAAUCUAUAGACACCCCUUUCUGUCUGACUUAGCCCUGCCAUUCAUGACAGACACGUUCCUAUAGCCUACUGUGCGCUGUGUCCUGGUCCCAUCAUCUCUUGGAUCUGCAUAGCUACUCCCUGUUGCUUUAUACUCUGAUCACCACCUCCUGCUAUCACCUGCCAUUUUCCACUACAUAUCCCAGAAACGUAAGUGCUCCCUCCCUUGCUUCGUAAUUUCGUACCUGUAAACGGGUUGAAAAUAGCAGAUUUGGGCACUAAUAAGAGCCUAAAUUGUAACAUAGUGGCUAUACAGUAACAUGCUAUUGUCUGCUAUAUGAUGUCAAAGCUCAGGCUCUGAGAUUCACAGCUCUGUUUUGACUGACAGUCGUUCUGAACUUGAGCACUGCACGCGGCAAGCAGUCCCCCCCCGGUAAUUAGGCAACUUUUGCACAUUUCUUGUUGUCUGAGUGGGGGAAAUGCUUUAAAAGAAAAUGACUCGAUGUAUUUUGAAAGAUAAGACGUGGAUGAUAUAAUAAAUACCACUUCAUACAAGCAUGCCAAACACCCGUGAGUCCAAAAUUGCACUUCACAUUUCCAAAUCUUAAAACUCAUGUCAUAUACUGUGUCAAGAUGACAUGGGUGGUUCUGAACAAAAUGAACCUACGUGGCACACCGUAGGCCGUGGCACACCGCAGGCCGUGGCACACCGCAGGCCGUGGCACACGCACCUGCAACUCAUGACUCCUUUCGAUGCGCGGAAAUACAACUAUGUUGUAUUUUUGUGUUUGGACUGGUAUGGUUCUCAAUCAGAGGCAGCCGUCGAUCGGUGUCUCUGAUUGAGAAUCAUACUUAGGUAGUGUCACGUUCUGACCUUAGUUCCUUUGUUUUGUCUUUGUUUGAGUAUGGUCAGGGCGUGAGUUGGGGUGGGCAGUCUAUGUGUGUUCUUCUCUAUGUUGGCGUUUUGAGUUCGGCCUAGUAUGGUUCUCAAUCAGAGGCAGCUGUCAAUCGUUGUCCCUGAUUGAGAAUCAUACUUAGGUAGCCUGGGUUUCAUUUUUGGUUGGUGGGUGUUUGUUUCCGUGUGAGUGUUUGGGCCACACGGUACUAUUUCGUUUUUCGUUUUGUUCACAUCGUUUAUUGUUUUGUAUUUCAGUGUUCAGUUCGUUUUGAAUAAAUCAUCAUGAACACUUACCACUCUGUGCUUUGGUCCGACCCUUCUUCCACCCAAGACAACCGUUAUAGGUAGCCUGGUUGUGGAUGAUUAUUUUCUGUGUCAGUGUUUGCUCCAUACGGGACUGUGUCGGUUUCCAUUUAUUCUCUUAUUCCUUUGUUUUCUGUGUUCAGUUAUAUUUCAUUAAAAUUAUAUUAUGGACACUUACCACGCUGCGUAUUGGUCCGAUCCUUCCUACUCUUCCUCAGAAGAGGACGAAAACCGUUACACUGUUUGAAAUGGUAUCGUUUGAAUUAGAUAUUAUUCCUGUUUUCCCAAGUUAUUUUUAUGGAAAAUGGUAUUGUUUGAGUUAGAUUAUAUUAUUAUAUUGUAUUCCAGUUAUGAACUAUACUGAACUAAAAUAUAAACGCAACAUGUAAAGUGUUGGUCCCAUGUUUCAUGAGCUGAAAUAAAAUAUUUCCCAUGUCCACAAAAAAGCUUAUUUCUUUGCACAACUGAAGAAUUUCUGCACAAACUGUCAGAAACUGUCUCAGGGAAGCUCAUCUGCGUGCUUGUCGUCCUCACCGGGAGGGACUGCAGUUUGGUGUCAGAAAAAUAAGUGUUCAGUAAAAAAUAGAUAUGUAAAAAAUAAAAGUAACAUAAUUAAAGAGCAGUAGCGAGGCUAUAAAGAGUAACAACAGUGAGGCUAUAAACAGGGGAUACCGGUACAGAGUCAAUGUGCAGGGGCAUUGGUUAGUUGACGUAAUAUGUACAUGUAGGUAGAGUUAAAGUGACUAUGCAUAGAUAAUAAACAGAGAGUAGUAGCAGCGGUCUUAUGUCUUGGGGAUAGAAACUGUUAAGAAGUCUUUUGGACCUAGACUUGGCGCUCCGGUACUGCUUGCCGUGCUGGUAGCAGAGAGAACAGUCUACAAUUUUUAGGCACCGCCUGGUAUAGAGGUCCUGGAUGGCAGAAAGCUUGGCCCCAGUGAUGUACUGGGCUGUAUGUGUAGCAGUGUGAUGUUGUUCCCCUAGAUUAUGCACCAAGUUGCACACAAGGACCAAUUCAAAUAGGUCAGGUCAAGAGGGGAUGGUAAUAAUUUGAUAAUAAUAAUUCAGUGUAUUUUUUUAUUUUUUUAUUACAGCUGCAUAGCUAAUGUUUUUCUUUGGCGUACAAACACUUUUUCAUAUUAAUAUUGUACAUACAUUUUGAGUUUUGUAUAUUUUGGUUUGGACCAUCGCGGGUUAUCUGUAUUUCCGUACCCCCUUGGUGUUCUCUUUUGCCUGACCUUCGGCUAGCAAGGUAUGUUGUCCUUGGCUCCCAAAUUGUUUAAUAUAAAACUGUCAUAAUGUUACACAAUGUACUGUUAUGCUACCAUAAGUUUGUUACAAUGUGGAUAAUAUAAAGAUUUAUGUUAACAAGUUUCACAAAGCUCGCUAACUAGGGUAUCUAUUGUAACUUGUGAGUACUUGGGAUAGUGUUUGAGUGAGUGUCCAUGUGCUUGCGCAGGUGCCUGAGAGCUAGGACUGCGCCAAGGGUUAACAUAAUGUGUGUUGUCUCUUCGUGUGCAGGGUAAAUAAAAAGAAUUCAACUAGCAGACCUUCAGUUGUGGCAUCGUCCUAAUUACAAGUACACAACCCAGAAUGAACUACGCUACAUACGCACUACCUUCUGUAAUGCGUUGCGGAUGGAGGCCGAGCAGUUGCCAUAACAGGCAGUGAUGCCCUCGAUGGUGCAGCUGUAUAACUUUUUAGGAUCUGAGGACCCAUGCCAAAUCUUUUCAGUCUCCUGAGGAGGAAUAGGCUUUGUUGUUCCCUCUUCACGACUGUCUUGGUGUGUUUGGACCAUGAUGGUUUGUUGGUCAUAUGGACACCAAGAAACUUGAAGCUCUCAACCUGCUCCACUACAGCCCCCGUCGAUGAGAAUGGGGGCGUGCUCGGUCCUCCUUUUCCCGUAGUCCACAAUCAUCUCCUUUGUCUUGAGCAUGUUGAGGGAGAGGUGGUUGUCCUGGCUCCAUACGACCAGGUCUUUGACCUCCCUAGGACAGCCAUUGAAGAGGAGUGGAACAACAUCCACAGAUCAACUCUAUGCUAAGGAGAUGUCUAGCUGCAUGAGGCAAAUGGUUGUCACACCAGAUACUGACUGGUUUUCUGAUCCACGCCCCUACCUUUUUUAAAGGUAUCUGUGACCCACAGAUGCAUAACUUUAUUCCCAGUCAUGUGAAAUCCAUUGAUUAGGGCCUCAUGUAUUUAUUUAAAUUGACUGGUUUCCUUAUAUGAACUGUAACUCAGUAAAAUCUUUGAAAUUGUUGCAUGUUGCAUUUAUAUUUUUGUUCAGUGUAAUUUGCUCAUCCGUUUUGACAUAGAUGUUAUUUUAUGUAAAUAUGUUGUGCUAUGGUCCAUAUUCUAGCAUUUACUUGCUGACUGUGUUACACUACUGUUGCUAACAGUUGUUAUGGAAUUAGUGUAUGGUUUACAUUGGGAAUCUAGAACUUUACCGGUAACUAUUGUGUAAUAAGAUCCAUUACAAAUGUAUAGUCCUUGUAAUACUGGAGUCCUGAUUUGUGUGGGGCUGGACAGGGUCCGAAUCAGAGGUGACACACACAUUCCCUGUCCACUGACUUGUCUGUCCACCGCACCAUAAUAUGCACACUCACACGCUUACACUCACACGCUCACUUUGUUUGUACUCAUGUUACAGCCAACUCUUAUAUUAAUUGUUUUUAAUACAAUAUUUCUUAUGUAGUUCACUGUCAUUUAUUCAUGAUCUUUAACUGGUUAAAUGUUUGUAGUUUGAAUGUUUCAGUGAUGAUUAACAUGUUUAAAUAGUUGUAAACAUCUCCUUGAUUUAGCUUUCGGUAUAUUUGCACUUUUUAAGACCGCAAUAGUUAAUCAACACACAAUUAUUGUAAAUAAAUGGACACUACCUGUUAUGAAAUGGAAAUCGAUGUCCGAAAAUAAAUGCUGAGAAAUGAUCCGUCUGGACUCCGAAGCCAUUCGGCUAUGGGUUUCAGAGCCCCGUGAUAAUUAUACAAUUUAUAUUCGCUUAAAAGGGCUUUAUUUACAACUCUGGGGUAUAACAUGUUUGGCAAAGUGGUAUAGGAGAUUCUGACAUGAAAUAUAACCCUUGAACCCUAACUUGAGUUCAGUCUAAGCCAAUGAGAACCAAGAGGGGUCUAGCUUCGUGCCUGCCUCCACUGAGUGACAACGGCUGCAACCUGUCCUAGUAGCCCCCUUGCGUGGUACUAACACUAUAUCUUACCCCAAUACAGUAGUGGUCGUCAGUGAGGUGCACAGCUGCAGGUUUCUGUCCGUCAUGACUGGGAAGGGCCUAGGUUCUAGGCCGUAGAAGAUCCUACAGCGAUCUCGUUAGAUCAGAACUGGAUUGAUCAACAGUGAUUCGUAAUACUGGUUUGCAUCCUAAAAAAAAAAAGGAUAGUUAUGUUUUGCUGCAUAACACAUUCUUUUUUUCUACCCAUAUGAUGUGGAUCAUUGUCAGGUUAUUGGAUGUGUCCGUUUGAGUAACAACAAAACACCAUGGUUGUAAUAACUCUUUUAACAGGUAGUUUGUAAAUGUGUAGAAUGUGUUUGUUUUGGGUCAUCACUGGUAAAUGAAUUGAUGUAAAUUAGACAGUCAGAUGAUUUUCUGAGUAACUGGUCAGGGCAUAGUACUUUCCAUUUAGCUUCAGGCAACUUUGAUGUAUGGUUUGAUCACACCUGUAGUGACUACUUUACCAGUCAGGCCCAUUGAUUGUGAACAAUGGAUAAGCAACAAUGUAAUUACACCAAACACAAAUGUUGACAAAAUGUUUUUUUAUUCAAAAACUAUUAAUUGUGAUAUGUUUGUUUAUGUAUGACUGAAAAAAAAAACAAGAUACACAAUAAUAAAGUGAUAAUUGUGAGGAAAUACUGUAUGUUCUUCAUAAUCAAAGACAAAAUACAGGUUGACUUGUUGUCUACAUUCACAGUACACUUUGAUGUGUUUUGAAUAUGGGGUCUGCAUUGAAACACCUCCAGUUCACACAUUUACCCAAUUUCGAAUUCAGGAUUUACAUUGUACAACUUUCUACGCCAGCAGAAAUUCUGGUUAUUAACCAGGUUUCCAUUCAAACUUUUUAUGCAAGUAAAGUACAUGCUGGAUAUAAAAAAUGUCAUGACCUGAUGGAAACAACGUAUUUCCAAAUGUCGACAAAACAAAAUACGCUAGACAAUGUGAGAUAUUUUUGUGUCAGUAAAAUACAUUUUGUGAGAAAUGUCAGUGGAAACACUUUUGUGCACAAAUAUUGAUACAAUAACCAUCAUAUUGAAGUCUCCCGGUCCCUGCCGCUGGAAAACAUCCCCACAGCAUGAUGCUGCUACUACCAUGCUUCACCGUAGGGUUGGUGCCAGGUUUCCUCCAGACUUGACGCUUGGCAUUC
Molecule: long non-coding RNA, 10847 nt
Organism: Oncorhynchus keta (chum salmon)
Lineage: Eukaryota; Metazoa; Chordata; Actinopteri; Salmoniformes; Salmonidae
Exons: 3
Source: RefSeq, a predicted model, not a curated record